This 854-nucleotide ribosomal RNA is filed under the name uncultured Lactobacillus sp. RNAcentral describes it as "bacterial SSU rRNA". It matches the Rfam family "Bacterial small subunit ribosomal RNA", at positions 647 to 1502 of the family's 1533-position model. Lineage: Bacteria; Bacillati; Bacillota; Bacilli; Lactobacillales; Lactobacillaceae. The record is from RNAcentral.
UGCAGAAGAGGACAGUGGAACUCCAUGUGUAGCGGUGAAAUGCGUAGAUAUAUGGAAGAACACCAGUGGCGAAGGCGGCUGUCUGGUCUGUAACUGACGCUGAGGCUCGAAAGUAUGGGUAGCAAACAGGAUUAGAUACCCUGGUAGUCCAUACCGUAAACGAUGAAUGCUAAGUGUUGGAGGGUUUCCCCCUUCAGUGCUGCAGCUAACGCAUUAAGCAUUCCGCCUGGGGAGUACGGCCGCAAGGCUGAAACUCAAAGGAAUUGACGGGGGCCCGCACAAGCGGUGGAGCAUGUGGUUUAAUUCGAAGCUACGCGAAGAACCUUACCAGGUCUUGACAUACUAUGCAAAUCUAAGAGAUUAGACGUUCCCUUCGGGGACAUGGAUACAGGUGGUGCAUGGUUGUCGUCAGCUCGUGUCGUGAGAUGUUGGGUUAAGUCCCGCAACGAGCGCAACCCUUAUUAUCAGUUGCCAGCAUUAAGUUGGGCACUCUGGUGAGACUGCCGGUGACAAACCGGAGGAAGGUGGGGAUGACGUCAAAUCAUCAUGCCCCUUAUGACCUGGGCUACACACGUGCUACAAUGGAUGGUACAACGAGUUGCGAACUCGCGAGAGUAAGCUAAUCUCUUAAAGCCAUUCUCAGUUCGGAUUGUAGGCUGCAACUCGCCUACAUGAAGUCGGAAUCGCUAGUAAUCGCGGAUCAGCAUGCCGCGGUGAAUACGUUCCCGGGCCUUGUACACACCGCCCGUCACACCAUGAGAGUUUGUAACACCCAAAGUCGGUGGGGUAACCUUUAGGAACCAGCCGCCUAAGGUGGGACAGAUGAUUAGGGUGAAGUCGUAACAAGGUAACCA